AAGUCGUAACAAGGUUUCCGUAGGUGAACCUGCGGAAGGAUCAUUAACGAUAUACAAAUCGCGGCCAGCCUGCAAAGGAGGGCCGCGGCGGUUGCGGAAACGGCCCCCAACGUCUCGCUGGGCGGUACGGCUCCGCAUGCCUGCAUCCUUUUUCUACGAGCACCUUUCGUUCUCCUUCGGCGGGGUAACCUGCCGUUGGAUUCAAACAAAACCUUUGCAUCUAGAAUUACCCGUUCUGACAAAAAACAAUCGUUUACAACUUUCAACAAUGGAUCUCUUGGCUCUGGCAUCGAUGAAGAACGCAGCGAAAUGCGAUAAGUAGUGUGAAUUGCAGAAUUCAGUGAAUCAUCGAAUCUUUGAACGCACAUUGCGCCCCUUGGUAUUCCAUGGGGCAUGCCUGUUCGAGCGUCAUCUACACCCUCAAGCUCUGCUUGGUGUUGGGCGUCUGUCCCGCCUCUGCGCGCGGACUCGCCCCAAAUACAUUGGCAGCGGUCCUUGCCAGCCUCUCGCGCAGCACAUUGCGUUUCUCGAGGUCUGGCGGCCCGCAUCCACGAAGCACGUCUUCAGCUCUUUUGACCUCGGAUCAGGUAGGGAUACCCGCUGAACUUAA
This 610-nucleotide ribosomal RNA is filed under the name uncultured fungus. RNAcentral describes it as "eukaryotic LSU rRNA". The stretch from base 258 to 411 matches the Rfam family "5.8S ribosomal RNA". Lineage: Eukaryota; Fungi. The record is from RNAcentral.